UCGAGAAUCUUUCGCAAUGCCCGAAAGGGUGACGAAGCGACGCCGCGUGCGGGAGGAAGGCCUUCGGGUUGUAAACCGCUGUCGGGAGUUAAGAAAUGCAAGGAUGUUAAUAGCGUUCUUGCUUGACUAAGGCUCCGGAGGAAGCCACGGCUAACUCUGUGCCAGCAGCCGCGGUAAUACAGAGGCGGCAAGCGUUGUUCGGAAUUAUUGGGCGUAAAGAGCACGUAGGCGGCUGUGUAAGUCGGUUGUGAAAGCCUUCCGCUCAACGGAAGAACGGCAUCCGAUACUGCAUGGCUUGAGUGUGGGAGGGGAGAGUGGAACUUCUGGUGGAGCGGUGAAAUGCGUAGAUAUCAGAAGGAACACCGGCGACGAAGGCGACUCUCUGGUCCAUAACUGACGCUGAGUGUGCGAAAGCUAGGGGAGCAAACGGGAUUAGAUACCCCCGUAGUCCCUGAGCGGGCUGGCAAGGCGCAU
RNAcentral lists this ribosomal RNA (474 nucleotides) under uncultured bacterium. RNAcentral's name for it is "bacterial SSU rRNA". It matches the Rfam family "Bacterial small subunit ribosomal RNA", at positions 355 to 825 of the family's 1533-position model. The record is from RNAcentral.